Molecule: ribosomal RNA, 424 nt
Filed under: uncultured bacterium
Lineage: Bacteria
Description: bacterial SSU rRNA
Rfam family: Bacterial small subunit ribosomal RNA
Source: RNAcentral
UGGGGAAUAUUGGACAAUGGGGGCAACCCUGAUCCAGCCAUGCCGCGUGGAUGAUGAAGGCCCUAGGGUUGUAAAGUCCUUUUAACGGGGAAGAUAAUGACGGUACCCGUAGAAUAAGCCCCGGCUAACUUCGUGCCAGCAGCCGCGGUAAUACGAAGGGGGCUAGCGUUGCUCGGAAUCACUGGGCGUAAAGCGCACGUAGGCGGAUUCCUAAGUCGGGGGUGAAAUCCUGGAGCUCAACUCCAGAACUGCCUUCGAUACUGGGAAUCUUGAGUCCGGAAGAGGUGAGUGGAACUGCGAGUGUAGAGGUGAAAUUCGUAGAUAUUCGCAAGAACACCAGUGGCGAAGGCGGCUCACUGGUCCGGUACUGACGCUGAGGUGCGAAAGCGUGGGGAGCAAACAGGAUUAGAUACCCGCGUAGUCC